GGCCGCAUAACUCAGCGGUAGAGUGCGAGUCUCAUAAGCUCGAAGCCCCGAGUUCAACUCUCGGUGCGGCCA
RNAcentral lists this transfer RNA (72 nucleotides) under Candidatus Pacearchaeota archaeon. RNAcentral's name for it is "tRNA-Met". It matches the Rfam family "tRNA". Rfam says of the family: Transfer RNA (tRNA) molecules are approximately 80 nucleotides in length. The record is from RNAcentral. Lineage: Archaea; Nanobdellati.